UACAGAGGUGGCAAGCGUUGUUCGGAAUUACUGGGCGUAAAGGGCUUGUAGGCGGCCAACUAAGUCAGACGUGAAAUCCCUCGGCUUAACCGGGGAACUGCGUCUGAUACUGGAUGGCUGGAGUGUGGGAGAGGGAUGCGGAAUUCCAGGUGUAGCGGUGAAAUGCGUAGAUAUCUGGAGGAACACCGGUGGCGAAGGCGGCAUCCUGGACCAUUACUGACACUGAAAAGCGAAAGCCAGGGGAGCAAACGGG
Molecule: ribosomal RNA, 253 nt
Filed under: uncultured bacterium
Lineage: Bacteria
Description: partial 16S ribosomal RNA
Rfam family: Bacterial small subunit ribosomal RNA
Source: RNAcentral